CAAUAGCGUAUAUUAAAGUUGUUGCAGUUAAAAGGCUCGUAGUUGGAUUUGUGGCGUACGACGGGCUCCGGGCACUUGUUGUCUGAGUAGCUUGUCGUUGCCAUCCUUGGGUGGAACCUGUGUGGCAUUAGGUUGUCGUGCAGGGGAUGCCCAUCUUUUACUGUGAAAAAAUUAGAGUGUUCAAAGCAGGCUUAUGCCGUUGAAUAUAUUAGCAUGGAAUAAUAAGAUAGGACUUUGUCGCUAUUUUGUUGGUUUGCGCGAUAAGGUGAUGAUUAAUAGGGACAGUUGGGGGUAUUCGUAUUCCAUUGUCAGAGGUGAAAUUCUUGGAUUUUUGGAAGACGAACUACUGCGAAAGCAUUUACCAAGGAUGUUUUCAUUA
RNAcentral lists this ribosomal RNA (379 nucleotides) under uncultured eukaryote. RNAcentral describes it as "partial 18S ribosomal RNA". It matches the Rfam family "Eukaryotic small subunit ribosomal RNA", at positions 592 to 975 of the family's 1831-position model. The record is from RNAcentral.